Molecule: ribosomal RNA, 153 nt
Filed under: uncultured bacterium
Lineage: Bacteria
Description: partial 16S ribosomal RNA
Rfam family: Bacterial small subunit ribosomal RNA
Source: RNAcentral
CCUACGGGAGGCAGCAGUGGGGAAUAUUGGACAAUGGGCGCAAGCCUGAUCCAGCCAUGCCGCGUGAGUGAUGAAGGCCCUAGGGUUGUAAAGCUCUUUUGUGCGGGAAGAUAAUGACGGUACCGCAAGAAUAAGCCCCGGCUAACUUCGUGC